GAUGAACGCUAGCUACAGGCUUAACACAUGCAAGUCGAGGGGCAGCAUGGUCUUAGCUUGCUAAGGCCGAUGGCGACCGGCGCACGGGUGAGUAACACGUAUCCAACCUGCCGUCUACUCUUGGACAGCCUUCUGAAAGGAAGAUUAAUACAAGAUGGCAUCAUGAGUCCACAUGUUCACAUGAUUAAAGGUAUUCCGGUAGACGAUGGGGAUGCGUUCCAUUAGAUAGUAGGCGGGGUAACGGCCCACCUAGUCUUCGAUGGAUAGGGGUUCUGAGAGGAAGGUCCCCCACAUUGGAACUGAGACACGGUCCAAACUCCUACGGGAGGCAGCAGUGAGGAAUAUUGGUCAAUGGGCGAGAGCCUGAACCAGCCAAGUAGCGUGAAGGAUGACUGCCCUAUGGGUUGUAAACUUCUUUUAUAAAGGAAUAAAGUCGGGUAUGCAUACCCGUUUGCAUGUACUUUAUGAAUAAGGAUCGGCUAACUCCGUGCCAGCAGCCGCGGUAAUACGGAGGAUCCGAGCGUUAUCCGGAUUUAUUGGGUUUAAAGGGAGCGUAGAUGGAUGUUUAAGUCAGUUGUGAAAGUUUGCGGCUCAACCGUAAAAUUGCAGUUGAUACUGGAUAUCUUGAGUGCAGUUGAGGCAGGCGGAAUUCGUGGUGUAGCGGUGAAAUGCUUAGAUAUCACGAAGAACUCCGAUUGCGAAGGCAGCCUGCUAAGCUGCAACUGACAUUGAGGCUCGAAAGUGUGGGUAUCAAACAGGAUUAGAUACCCUGGUAGUCCACACGGUAAACGAUGAAUACUCGCUGUUUGCGAUAUACAGCAAGCGGCCAAGCGAAAGCGUUAAGUAUUCCACCUGGGGAGUACGCCGGCAACGGUGAAACUCAAAGGAAUUGACGGGGGCCCACACAAGCGGAGGAACAUGUGGUUUAAUUCGAUGAUACGCGAGGAACCUUACCCGGGCUUAAAUUGCAGAUGAAUUACGGUGAAAGCCGUAAGCCGCAAGGCAUCUGUGAAGGUGCUGCAUGGUUGUCGUCAGCUCGUGCCGUGAGGUGUCGGCUUAAGUGCCAUAACGAGCGCAACCCUUGUUGUCAGUUACUAACAGGUUCUGCUGAGGACUCCGACAAGACUGCCAUCGUAAGAUGUGAGGAAGGUGGGGAUGACGUCAAAUCAGCACGGCCCUUACGUCCGGGGCUACACACGUGUUACAAUGGGGGGUACAGAGGGCCGCUACCACGCGAGUGGAUGCCAAUCCCAAAAACCUCUCUCAGUUCGGACUGGAGUCUGCAACCCGACUCCACGAAGCUGGAUUCGCUAGUAAUCGCGCAUCAGCCACGGCGCGGUGAAUACGUUCCCGGGCCUUGUACACACCGCCCGUCAAGCCAUGGGAGCCGGGGGUACCUGAAGUGCGUAACCGCGAGGAGCGCCCUAGGGUAAAACUGGUGACUGGGGCU
Molecule: ribosomal RNA, 1450 nt
Filed under: uncultured bacterium
Lineage: Bacteria
Description: bacterial SSU rRNA
Rfam family: Bacterial small subunit ribosomal RNA
Source: RNAcentral